AUCUACCUUUAGCUGAGGGAUAGCCCAGAGAAAUUUGGAUUAACACCUCAUGGUCCCAGGCAUUCGCAUGGAUUGUUUGGGUAAAGGUUACGGCUAGAGAUGAGUAUGCGUCCUAUUAGCUAGUAGGUUUGGUAACGGCAGACCUAGGCGACGAUAGGUAGGGGCCCUGAGAGGGGGAUCCCCCACACUGGUACUGAGACACGGACCAGACUCCUACGGGAGGCAGCAGUGAGGAAUAUUGGACAAUGGGCGGAAGUGAUCCAGCCAUGCCGCGUGCAGGAAGACUGCCCUAUGGUUGUAAACUGCUUUUAUAUAGGAAGAAACCCUUGGUCGUGCACCAGGGCUGACGGUACUAUAAGAAUAAGCAUCGGCUAACUCCGUGCCAGCAGCCGCGGUAAUACGGAGGAUGCAAGCGUUAUCCGGAAUCAUUGGGUUUAAAGGGUCCGUAGUGGACAGAUAAGUCAGAGGUGAAAUCCUGCAGCUCAACUGUAGAAUUGCCUUUGAUACUGUUUGUCUUGAGUUAUUAUGAAGUGGUUAGAAUGUGUAGUGUAGCGGUGAAAUGCAUAGAUAUUACACAGAAUACCGAUUGCGAAGCAGAUCACUAAUAAUUAACUGACACUGAUGGACGAAAGCGUGGGGAGCGAACAGGAUUAGAUACCCUGGUAGUCCACGCCGUAAACGAUGGUCACUAGCUGUGUGGAUUUCGGUCUG
Molecule: ribosomal RNA, 711 nt
Filed under: uncultured bacterium
Lineage: Bacteria
Description: bacterial SSU rRNA
Rfam family: Bacterial small subunit ribosomal RNA
Source: RNAcentral